GAUGAACGCUGGCGGCGUGCCUAAUACAUGCAAGUCGAGCGAACGGACGAGAAGCUUGCUUCUCUGAUGUUAGCGGCGGACGGGUGAGUAACACGUGGAUAACCUACCUAUAAGACUGGGAUAACUUCGGGAAACCGUAGCUAAUACCGGAUAAUAUUUUGAACCGCAUGGUUCAAAAGUGAAAGACGGUCUUGCUGUCACUUAUAGAUGGAUCCGCGCUGCAUUAGCUAGUUGGUAAGGUAACGGCUUACCAAGGCAACGAUGCAUAGCCGACCUGAGAGGGUGAGCGGCCACACUGGAACUGAGACACGGUCCAGACUCCUACGGGAGGCAGCAGUAGGGAAUCUUCCGCAAUGGGCGAAAGCCUGACGGAGCAACGCCGCGUGAGUGAUGAAGGUCUUCGGAUCGUAAAACUCUGUUAUUAGGGAAGAACAUAUGUGUAAGUAACUGUGCACAUCUUGACGGUUCCUAAUCAGAAAGCCACGGCUAACUACGUG
This 497-nucleotide ribosomal RNA is filed under the name uncultured bacterium. RNAcentral describes it as "partial 16S ribosomal RNA". It matches the Rfam family "Bacterial small subunit ribosomal RNA", at positions 28 to 507 of the family's 1533-position model. The record is from RNAcentral.